Molecule: long non-coding RNA, 434 nt
Organism: Fukomys damarensis (Damara mole-rat)
Lineage: Eukaryota; Metazoa; Chordata; Mammalia; Rodentia; Bathyergidae
Exons: 3
Source: RefSeq, a predicted model, not a curated record
GCCUGGGGUGCAGGUGCCGAGGGCCAGCCUGAGAGACGGAAGCACCCCAUCACCAGGGAAAUGCAGGCCCACCCUGAGAUUCAGAUUCUGAACCAAAGCUGCCAAAUCUCAUCAUAGAAUACAACACAGACAUUGUCAAAGGGGUUUCUAGGGAGAAGUUGGAAGCUAAAUAGGGUCCUCAGCUUCUGGAGGUCCUAGUAUUACACCUCACAUUUCCGCUCUCCCGGCUCACCAAGGGGCUUCCUGGCUCUGGGAAGGGGCAAGGCAUUUGGAGCAGCUUCAGCCAGUUGCCCGAGGUCUUCGGAAGGAGCCCAUCCGGGGAUCCUGAGGCAGGAGGGAGCUGGAGGUGCAGAAGGAGCCUCCUGGAUUGCAGGCAUGCGCCACAACACCCAGCUCUAUCAUGGGCUGCACCCCCCAGAGCCACUGCAUGCACC